Molecule: transfer RNA, 76 nt
Filed under: Acidobacteriota bacterium
Lineage: Bacteria; Pseudomonadati; Acidobacteriota
Description: Acidobacteria bacterium (drinking water metagenome) tRNA-His
Rfam family: tRNA
About the family: Transfer RNA (tRNA) molecules are approximately 80 nucleotides in length. Their secondary structure includes four short double-helical elements and three loops (D, anti-codon, and T loops). Further hydrogen bonds mediate the characteristic L-shaped molecular structure. tRNAs have two regions of fundamental functional importance: the anti-codon, which is responsible for specific mRNA codon recognition, and the 3' end, to which the tRNAs corresponding amino acid is attached (by aminoacyl-tRNA synthetases). tRNAs cope with the degeneracy of the genetic code in two manners: having more than one tRNA (with a specific anti-codon) for a particular amino acid; and 'wobble' base-pairing, i.e. permitting non-standard base-pairing at the 3rd anti-codon position.
Source: RNAcentral
GGGACUUAGCUUAACUGGAUCAAAGCACCGCACUGUGAAUGCGGGGAUUGCGGGUUCGAAUCCCGCCGUUCCACCA